RNAcentral lists this ribosomal RNA (253 nucleotides) under uncultured bacterium. RNAcentral describes it as "partial 16S ribosomal RNA". It matches the Rfam family "Bacterial small subunit ribosomal RNA", at positions 524 to 776 of the family's 1533-position model. The record is from RNAcentral.
UACAGAGGUCCCGAGCGUUGUUCGGAUUCACUGGGCGUAAAGGGUGCGUAGGUGGCUUGAAAAGUUUGAUGUGAAAGCUCAGGGCUUAACCCUGAAAUGGCAUUGAAUACUGUCGAGCUGGAGGUUUGGAGGGGGGACUGGAAUUCUUGGUGUAGCAGUGAAAUGCGUAGAUAUCAAGAGGAACACCAGUGGCGAAGGCGAGUCCCUGGACAACACCUGACACUGAGGCACGAAAGCUAGGGAAGCAAACAGG